This 1324-nucleotide long non-coding RNA is filed under the name Anas platyrhynchos platyrhynchos (common mallard). RNAcentral's name for it is "lncRNA (ENSAPLG00000028268.1)". Lineage: Eukaryota; Metazoa; Chordata; Aves; Anseriformes; Anatidae. The record is from RNAcentral.
CGGCCACGUCUGCCAGCAGCACCUCCAGGACGUCUGUGCCCAGCGAGGCCAGCCCCGCCAGCAGCCCAGCAGUGCCAGUGGCCAGGACGUCGCCUGCCCCCAGCAGCCCUCUCAGCACCAGGCUGCCAUCUGCCGCCCCUUCCACAGCCUCCUCCCCAUCGCCCCCAAGCUCCCAGCUCAGGCCCACACCUACGACCCUGAGGCCCAAGCCCUCUCCCCCGAGGACCAGUGCUCCCACAGAGUCGCCUGCGUCCUCCGCACCCUCCACAGCCAAAACCAGCCCGCUGCCCUCAUCUGCGUCCUCCCCGCUCUCAACUGUGUCCUCAGCAGUGCCGAGCUCCUCACAGCCAGCCUCCACCCCCAAAGAGACAACGGUGCCUCACAUCGUGCCGCCCGUGAGCACGGAGAAGACCACCCCGGCCACGUCUGCCAGCAGCACCUCCAGGACGUCCGUGCCCAGCGAGGCCAGCCCCGCCAGCAGCCCAGCAGUGCCAGUGGCCAGGACAUCGCCUGCCCCCAGCAGCCCUCUCAGCACCAGGCUGCCAUCUGCUGCCCCUUCCACAGCCUCCUCCCCAUCGCCCCCAAGCUCCCGGCUCAGGCCCACGCCUACGACCCUGAGGCCCAAGCCCUCUCCCCCGAGGACCAGUGCUCCCACAGAGUCGCCUGCGUCCUCCGCACCCUCCACAGCCAAAACCAGCCCGCUGCCCUCAUCUACGUCCUCUCCACUCUCAACUGUGUCCUCAGCAGUGACGAGCUCCUCACAGCCAGGUAAGACUCCCUCCUGCCUUCCCUCUGCUCUGCUUGCUCUUUGUAGGGAACACAAUAGCCAUUAUUCUUCCUAUCCCUCUUUCCUCCUCCUUCACAACAUUUAUCUCGCAUCCUGAUAUCAAAUGGUGUGGAACAGCCACUGGCUGUGUCCCCUCUCAGCUCCUUGUGAAUUUCCAGCCUCCUCACAGGCAGGGCAGCAUCAGAAGUAGAGAAGUCCUUGACUAUGUGUGAGCACUGCUCAUCAACACUUCAAUCAACAAUGUUUUAUCAUCAUUAUACACAACUGAAAUUGAAAACACCUCACUGUAGACAAUACUGUGAUGAAAAUGGAGUGUAUCACAGCGAAAAACCAUGAAAAAGACCUUCUCUGUUUCUCUGUCUGCUCCAGAGCAAGUGGGCUCGGGCUGGGCAAGAGCUAGGGAGAGGACAGAGUUGGCAGAGCUUACAGCAAGAGCCCAGCGAGCCAUUCCUUACCGUACACCAAAACGCUCAGCAAGAUGAUGAGGGUUGCAUGUUUCAGAACGAGCCAUUCCUCAGAGCCUGGCUGGGCCUGGGU